Molecule: long non-coding RNA, 1208 nt
Organism: Panthera uncia (snow leopard)
Lineage: Eukaryota; Metazoa; Chordata; Mammalia; Carnivora; Felidae
Exons: 5
Source: RefSeq, a predicted model, not a curated record
GAACAUGCCAUUCAGAUCCCUGCUGCCAAUGCAGUCAGGUGGGCCACUCCCCUGAUGGCCGCAGGUUGGGCCCAGCACAGUCCCAAGACCCUCUGGUGAAGCCUGGAGUCAUUUCCCUGCUGGCCCCAGAGACGUCACACAUUCCAGAACAAGGCAGAUCCUAAGAAAUAGGAGCUAUUGUUUGCCGGUGCAUCAUCUCAUAGCUUCCCAUCCAGUCUCCUUGGUGACACCAUGUUGGCAGGAAUGGCAAAGGCGGGGUGGGUCCGAGCACCCUCUACAUGCCUGCAGGGCCUCCGCCCGCCUCCCACCACCUUGCUUGCUCAGAGCAUGCCCCUCAGUUCCUCUGCUUGGACCCUCAUCGAAGUUCCUUGUCCCAUCUCUGCGGAGGAGGAAACUCAGUACUUUAUAGGCUGGAAAUUAAAAAACCAAGAUACCAGCUGGAAUAUACUCACGCAAGGGGAACCGUGAGAGAAGAGAUCAUCCUGGCCCAUUUGGUGGGCUGAAUGGAGUGACCUGUGCUAGGAACCCCCUCGGCACCUCGGGGGUCUCUUCAGACUGAGAGCGGCAUCCUGACAGGACAAACCCACACCUGGGAGGUGAAACACUGAUCUCAGGUCGCACCGACUCACACGGCAACACUCAUUCAUCACCCUGUGAGCUGAUUUCAGGGCACCACUUACGGAUCUCAGAGUCUAGUUCCAGACCCUUCAACCCAACGUUCCCAUGGGGGAGGGCUCUCUAGGAGCCACGCCUGUCCCGGUUGCCAGACGCAUUUGGCAGACAGAGUACCUACAAUUCCACUGUUGUUACCGAGGCGAAUAAGAAUUUAUUGAUCCUGGCAGCUUUGACAGUCUCAAGAGUCCGGCAAGCUCUGAAUGUCACCUCUUCCGGGAAGCAGACCCUAAUUCCCAAGGCGCUGGCCUCCCCCUCCCCCACAGCCUCCUACCAUCACAGGGACACAAAACUGGAAGCACAGAGAUACGCUCAGGACUGGAGACUCAAGGACAGAGGGCUCCUGGGCAUGAAGCAUGGCGGAGCUCCCCGAGUGGGCAAAGCCAUCACCAGGCCCUGCCCAGCAUUACGCCUGCAGCGCCCUGCUUGGGCCCAGCCCUCCCUGCCCCCUGAGCACUGGACCUGUGUCCCUCUCGGAACAGCCCCUUCCUUCAGGUGAACACUUCCCCAUAACAGUCUCUGCCCGUGUGGUCACC